RNAcentral lists this ribosomal RNA (465 nucleotides) under uncultured bacterium. RNAcentral's name for it is "partial 16S ribosomal RNA". It matches the Rfam family "Bacterial small subunit ribosomal RNA", at positions 338 to 795 of the family's 1533-position model. The record is from RNAcentral.
CCUACGGGAGGCAGCAGUAGGGAAUCUUCCACAAUGGGCGCAAGCCUGAUGGAGCAACACCGCGUGAGUGAAGAAGGGUUUCGGCUCGUAAAGCUCUGUUGUUGGAGAAGAACGUGCGUGAGAGUAACUGUUCACGCAGUGACGGUAUCCAACCAGAAAGUCACGGCUAACUACGUGCCAGCAGCCGCGGUAAUACGGAGGUGGCAAGCGUUAUCCGGAUUUAUUGGGCGUAAAGCGAGCGCAGGCGGUUGCUUAGGUCUGAUGUGAAAGCCUUCGGCUUAACCGAAGAAGUGCAUCGGAAACCGGGCAACUUGAGUGCAGAAGAGGACAGUGGAACUCCAUGUGUAGCGGUGGAAUGCGUAGAUAUAUGGAAGAACACCAGUGGCGAAGGCGGCUGUCUGGUCUGCAACUGACGCUGAGGCUCGAAAGCAUGGGUAGCGAACAGGAUUAGAUACCCGGGUAGUC